AGAAUCAACGCUGGCGGCGUGCCUAACACAUGCAAGUCGAACGCGAAAGUCCCGCAAGGGACAAGUAGAGUGGCAAACGGGUGAGUAACGCGUGGGCGACCUACCUCUGAGUGGGGGAUAACCGUUCCGAAAGGAGGGCUAAUACCGCAUGACAUCCCGUGUUUGGAUACACGGACAUCAAAGCCGGGGAUCGCAAGACCUGGCGCUUGGAGAGGGGCCCGCGUCCGAUUAGCUAGUUGGUGGGUAACGCCCACCAAGGCUCCGAUCGGUA
This 271-nucleotide ribosomal RNA is filed under the name uncultured bacterium. Its description in RNAcentral is "partial small subunit ribosomal RNA". It matches the Rfam family "Bacterial small subunit ribosomal RNA", at positions 26 to 285 of the family's 1533-position model. The record is from RNAcentral.